Molecule: transfer RNA, 76 nt
Filed under: Calidifontibacillus erzurumensis
Lineage: Bacteria; Bacillati; Bacillota; Bacilli; Caryophanales; Bacillaceae
Description: tRNA-Asp
Rfam family: tRNA
About the family: Transfer RNA (tRNA) molecules are approximately 80 nucleotides in length. Their secondary structure includes four short double-helical elements and three loops (D, anti-codon, and T loops). Further hydrogen bonds mediate the characteristic L-shaped molecular structure. tRNAs have two regions of fundamental functional importance: the anti-codon, which is responsible for specific mRNA codon recognition, and the 3' end, to which the tRNAs corresponding amino acid is attached (by aminoacyl-tRNA synthetases). tRNAs cope with the degeneracy of the genetic code in two manners: having more than one tRNA (with a specific anti-codon) for a particular amino acid; and 'wobble' base-pairing, i.e. permitting non-standard base-pairing at the 3rd anti-codon position.
Source: RNAcentral
GGUUCCGUGGUGUAGUGGUUAACAUGCCUGCCUGUCACGCAGGAGAUCGCGGGUUCGAUCCCCGUCGGAACCGCCA